GGCUUCUUGAUGUCUGUCCGACAUAUUGGAGUCCACAUGAACACUCUAUAAGGGGACGGUGGUUAUUUCAGUAGAGAAUGGUUAUUCACACCAUAUAAUAAUCCUCGAAGAAGAUGUGAGGUUAAAUUCAACGAGGCACACAGAUCCACCCGAGGAAUCAUCGAGAGAGCUUUUGGAUUGUUAAAAAUGCGCUUUCGUUGUCUUGACCAUUCAGGUGGUGUGAUGCAGUAUGCUCCAGAAAAGGUUGCAAAAAUAAUUCUGGUAUGCUGCAUUUUUCAUAACAUUGCAAUAAGAAGAGGAUUUGAAAUUGAGGAUGCUAACGAAAUCUCCUUUGAGUACUUCCCAGAGGUCAUCUGUAAUGAUGCACCAACAAGACAGGCCAUUAACGCCAAAAAUUAUGUUGCAGAAAACUAUUUUAAUGAUUGAUUUAGUAAAUAAAGUUUAUUCACAUGAUUAAAAUUUUUAUGUCAUUUAAAUAAAAAUAUAAAAUUUAAA
Bombina bombina (fire-bellied toad) is the source of this 495-nucleotide long non-coding RNA. RefSeq lists it as uncharacterized. The record is from RefSeq and is a predicted model, not a curated record. The transcript has 2 exons. NCBI's taxonomy places the organism in Eukaryota, Metazoa, Chordata, Amphibia, Anura, Bombinatoridae.